This 1073-nucleotide long non-coding RNA is filed under the name Strigops habroptila (Kakapo). Its description in RNAcentral is "lncRNA (ENSSHBG00005000495.1)". Lineage: Eukaryota; Metazoa; Chordata; Aves; Psittaciformes; Psittacidae. The record is from RNAcentral.
UGGAAACAGCCCUACUACUUAACACCACCAUACUACUUACACUAACAACCAUCCUUACACCUACCCUCCUUCCCCUCCUAUUAAAAAAUUUCCAAAACUCCCCCAAAACCAUUACCCUCACCAUCAAAGCUGCCUUCCUAAUCAGUCUAAUACCAAUAACACUCUUCAUGCAAUCAGGACUAGACAGUAUCACCUCACACUGAGAAUGAAAAUUCAUCAUAAACUUCAAAAUCCCAUUCAGCUUCAAAAUAAACCAGUACUCCAUACUAUUCUUCCCUAUUGCACUAUUUGUAACAUGAUCUAUCCUACAAUUUGCAACCUCAUACAUAGCCCCAGAUCCACACAUCACAAAAUUCCUCUCCUACCUAACAAACAACCUUCCUAAUCGCCAUACUAACACUAACCCUUGCCAACAAUAUAUUCCUCCUCUUCGUCGGCUGAGAAGGAGUCGGCAUUAUAUCCUUUCUACUAAUCAGCUGAUGAUACGGACGAACAGAAGCCAACACAGCAUCUCUGCCCUACUCCACUCAAGCACAGUAGUAGUCGCUGGAAUCUUCCUACUCAUCCUCUCCCACCCCUUACUCACCACCAACAAAACUGCCUUUACCCUAUGCCUCUGUCUAGGCACCCUAUCCACACUAUUUGCUGUCACGUGUUCUCACACAAAAUGACAUCAAAAAAAUUAUUGCUUUCUCCACAUCAAGCCAACUCGGGCUAAUAAUAGUCACCAUCAGACUCGACCUCCCACAACUAGCCUUCCUACACAUCUCAACCAUGCCUUCUUCAAAGCUAUAUUAUUCCUAUGCUCAGGAUCAAUCAUCUACAGCCUAAACAGAGAACAAGACAUCCGAAAAAUAGGGGGCCUGCAAAAAAUACUUGCAACAUCCACUUCCUGCCUAACCAUCGGAAAUCUAGCACUAAUAGGAACCCCAUUCCUAGUAGGGUUCUUCUCAAAAGACCUCAUCAUUGAAAACCUAAAUACAUCCCACCUAAAUGCCUGAGCACUCCUCCUAACCCUCCUAGCCACAACCUUCACUGCCACAUAUAGCCUAUGCAUAACCCUCCUAGUACAA